GAUCAGCCACACUGGAACUGACACACGGUCCAGACUCCUACGGGAGGCAGCAGUGAGGAAUUUUGCGCAAUGGGGGAAACCCUGACGCAGCAACGCCGCGUGAGUGAUGAAGGCCUUCGGGUCGUAAAGCUCUGUCAAGUGGGAAGAACCUGCAUUGGGUUAACAUCUCAGUGCACUGACGGUACCACUGAAGGAAGCACCGGCUAACUCCGUGCCAGCAGCCGCGGUAAUACGGAGGGUGCAAGCGUUAUUCGGAAUUAUUGGGCGUAAAGGGCGCGUAGGCGGCCGUUUAAGUCAGGUGUGAAAGCCCGGGGCUUAACCCCGGAAGUGCAUUUGAUACUGAGCGGCUUGAGUAUGGGAGAGGGAAGUGGAAUUCCUGGUGUAGAGGUGAAAUUCGUAGAUAUCAGGAGGAACACCGGUGGCGAAGGCGACUUCCUGGACCAAUACUGACGCUGAGGCGCGAAGGCGUGGGGAUCAAACAGGAUUAGAUACCCUGGUAG
RNAcentral lists this ribosomal RNA (500 nucleotides) under uncultured sulfate-reducing bacterium. RNAcentral's name for it is "bacterial SSU rRNA". It matches the Rfam family "Bacterial small subunit ribosomal RNA", at positions 302 to 793 of the family's 1533-position model. The record is from RNAcentral.